RNAcentral lists this ribosomal RNA (853 nucleotides) under Erysiphe quercicola. Its description in RNAcentral is "eukaryotic LSU rRNA". It matches the Rfam family "Eukaryotic large subunit ribosomal RNA", at positions 95 to 962 of the family's 3401-position model. The record is from RNAcentral. Lineage: Eukaryota; Fungi; Ascomycota; Leotiomycetes; Helotiales; Erysiphaceae.
GAAGCGGUAACAGCUCAAAUUUGAAAUCUGGCUCUUGCGGAGUCCGAGUUGUAAUUUGUAGAAGAUGCUUUGGGUUGUGGGUUCGGCCUAAGUUCCUUGGAACAGGACGUCAUAGAGGGUGAGAAUCCCGUAUGUGGCCGAGGCCCGCGCCUAUGUAAAGCUCUUUCAACGAGUCGAGUUGUUUGGGAAUGCAGCUCAAAAUGGGUGGUAAAUUUCAUCUAAAGCUAAAUAUGGGCCAGAGACCGAUAGCGCACAAGUAGAGUGAUCGAAAGAUGAAAAGCACUUUGGAAAGAGAGUUAAACAGUACGUGAAAUUGUUGAAAGGGAAGCGCUUGCAACCAGACUUGGGCGCUGCCGAUCACCUUGAGUUUUCUCGAGUGCACUCGACAGCGCACAGGCCAGCAUCGGUUCGGGUGGCUGGAUAAAGGCCGUAGGAAUGUGGCUCUCUUCGGGGAGUGUUAUAGCCUACGGUGCCAUGCAGCCCAGCCGGACCGAGGACCGCGCCUUCGGGCUAGGAUGCUGGCGUAAUGGUUGUAAGCGACCCGUCUUGAAACACGGACCAAGGAGUCUAACAUCUAUGCGAGUGUUUGGGUGGUAAACCCAUACGCGGAAUGAAAGUGAACGUAGGUGAGAACCCCUUUGGGGCGCAUCAUCGACCGAUCCUGAUGUCUUCGGAUGGAUUUGAGUAAGAGCAUAGCUGUUGGGACCCGAAAGAUGGUGAACUAUGCCUGAAUAGGGUGAAGCCAGAGGAAACUCUGGUGGAGGCUCGCAGCGGUUCUGACGUGCAAAUCGAUCGUCAAAUUUGGGCAUAGGGGCGAAAGACUAAUCGAACCAUCUAGUAGCUGGUUCCUGCC